CCCUUAGAUGUCCUGGGCCGCACGCGCGUUACACUGAUGCAUUCAACGAGCUUAUAACCUUGGCCGAGAGGCCUGGGCAAUCUUGUUAACGUGCAUCGUGAUAGGGAUAGAUUAUUGAAAUUAUUAAUCUUGAACGAGGAAUUCCUAGUAAACGCAGAUCAUCAAUCUACAUUGAUUACGUCCCUGCCCUUUGUACACACCGCCCGUCGCACCUACCGAUUGGAUGGUCCGGUGAAGCCUCGGGAUUGUGGUUCUUGCCGCUUUAUUGUAGCGUGACCGCGAGAACUUGUCUAAACCUUAUCAUCUAGAGGAAGGUGAAGUCGUAACA
RNAcentral lists this ribosomal RNA (328 nucleotides) under uncultured eukaryote. Its description in RNAcentral is "partial 18S ribosomal RNA". It matches the Rfam family "Eukaryotic small subunit ribosomal RNA", at positions 1470 to 1796 of the family's 1831-position model. The record is from RNAcentral.